UACGUAGGAUCCAAGCGUUGUCCGGAAUUACUGGGUGUAAAGGGUGCUCAGGCGGACUUGUGCGUCAGAGGUUAAAUACCCCGGCUCAACCGGGGAAAUGCCUUUGAAACGGCAGGUCUUGAGUGCGAGAGAGGAUGGUAGAAUUCCUGGUGUAGCGGUGAAAUGCGUAGAUAUCAGGAGGAAUACCAGUGGCGAAGGUGGCCAUCGGGCUCGCAACUGACGAUCAGGCACGAAAGCGUGGGGAGCAAACAGG
This 253-nucleotide ribosomal RNA is filed under the name uncultured bacterium. Its description in RNAcentral is "partial 16S ribosomal RNA". It matches the Rfam family "Bacterial small subunit ribosomal RNA", at positions 524 to 776 of the family's 1533-position model. The record is from RNAcentral.